Rattus norvegicus (Norway rat) is the source of this 6775-nucleotide non-coding RNA. The record is from RefSeq and is a predicted model, not a curated record. NCBI's taxonomy places the organism in Eukaryota, Metazoa, Chordata, Mammalia, Rodentia, Muridae.
UAUGAGGUUAUUUGGAAAUUUAGCAUGAAUGAGCAGAUCUAGGUCAAGAAUUUAGAAUCCAAAAAUUACAGUGUCAAAUAUACUCCCUCCUGUUCUUAUGAACCUAUUGAAGUUGAUGUUUCCAUGGACCUAAAGCCAUCCCUCUCCUUGCCCAUCUUCCUGAAUCUUAGGGUUGGACUGAAAAAAGAAUCAUGGUAAAAUAUCCAAAACCCUCAAGUCUGUCCCUGGUAACACAGGAAGGUAGAUAUUAGAGAACUGAUGUCUAAUGGGACUACAGAAACACAUUCAAUAGUUCAUGUUGUCCUUUGCUUUCCUGAUGUCUGGUAAUUUUUGGAUAAAAUGUGGAUUUGGGAGUUUAUCAUUGAAAUGGGAACACAAUACUUACACUGUUAUAAUGACUCUAUAACUGGGCCCACUUUUGUUCCAAAACAAUUGCAAAAUAAUGAAAUUGGAAAACGGAAUUGUUGAGUAAACAUUCAGAAAUAUAUAUAAAGUUCACUAUCAAGGAAUGUAAAAUUGGAAAAUGUAGUAAAAUAUUCAUUCAUUUAAAGGUCUGUAGGAAAAACACUGGCCAUAGGAAACAGAGAAAACCUAGAAAAUUGAUUUGUAUGUCACAGAAAUUGACUGGGAUUAAAAAUAUUAUCUAGAAGAAUCUCUUCCCCUCCAUGUUCCUAAUUUUUUUCUACCAGUAACAAGCCCCUGACUAUCUCCAUUCAGAAUAUGUAACCACUAAUGAAGCAAAGAGAAGUCUCUAGGUUUAGAGAGAUGUAUGUAAAGGUUUCCACUGUGUCACAGGAGACACUCCUGGAAAGGGCACCCUCUAAUCUGGUCAAUGUAAGGAAAGCUGUUUAGCAGGUAGGACAAGGCAGUUCUCAGUCACAUCACCAUUAAGACCUCAACGAAAAAUCUCUUGUAACCUGGAGAGUAGUAGAUUCUUCUGUGAUGUCACAAGUGUUGUCGUGACAUUAACUGCCUCUCAGAUAUUCCUUAAGUACCUCUACCUCUAGGGUUUACUAAUUGGCCUAUAAUUCAAAGUAAACAGCCAUUUGUGAGAGAGAAGAUCAAGGAGGAGGGAUAGGGAGAAGGAAGCUGGCCUUCUGUCUUGGUAUAAAAAGAACAAAUAUGUGCUCCUUGGUAAAGCUCAGCUAUGGUGUUGUGAAGACAAGAUACCACAUGUGCAGCUGUGAAUAAGUCUGAGAAGGCUGACUUCUUGGAUUUCUGAAGCAUUACUAAGUGAUCCAGAGGAAAUCAGCACGCCCUGCUCAGCAGAGCUCUGGGAAUGCUGACACUCUUGCUUCAUGUUUAUAUUAACCUAGGUCAAAAGAUCACCUGUCAGGAAAAAUAGUCCUGAGGAAGGAGGGACAACAAGUAUUGUAUCGUCAUGUCAUCUCAAGAAAAACUCUCAAAACUCAUCCUGGCUGACAAUGUAGAUUAGACGCAUCAGAUGAAAUGAAUUGAAAAACUCUCCUGGGAAUGAAAGUGGUAAGGAAAUCACAUUGAUGUAUCCUAAAUGCAGUGCUAAGAGCAAUAUUCAGACUAGUCUGUGGAGAUGCUGCUGUCAUCAGAGACCACAGACAAUUAGUGGAGAAUGAUUCAGCAUUAAACUGGGAAUGGAAGAUGAUGGUUGAUAUUGUUCUAGUAGAUCUCACUACAUUAAAAAGUGUUUCUUCCAGAUAACUGAAUGAUUAUUGUAAAGCAAAUCCCGGAAUGAACUUAUGAGACCCACCAUCAGCCUGUCAAAUAAUGUGCGAAAGAAGAAAUCUGUGUCUCUCCAGGGACAAAUUGUUGCUUUCAAACCAACAGUAAAGUGUCCAUUCUAUGAAUGAUACAUUGAUAUAUACACAUUAUAGAAGGAUGGAUACAGAGUUUCUUCAGGUCCAUGAAUGAGGUAUUCAGCAGUUGACAUGGAUCAGAAAUGAAGGUAAUUUUUGCCAACUCUUCAGACUUGAGCUCCUUCACUAGGAUCCCCAUGAUUGAAGAAAAGAACAAACUUCAGACAACUUGUCUCAGAUUUUUAUGUAGUUAAGAUUUCCUGGUCUUGGUCCUCGGAAGGAAGGAUAUCUUGCUUUCCAAUUCUUGUUUAUCCUAUAAUCCUCUCUGCUGCAUUCAUGCAAAUAGAUUACUGUGCAUUUCUUUAAUAGGUUACAAUUGCUAUUUUAAUUAUGUUGCCAAGAACUAUAGAAAAAAAGAAGGACUGUAUCAAAGCAUCAUAUGAAAAUCCGACUAAGGUAAUGUGGCCAUUGGAAAUUUGUAACUGACCUGAAACUCUUACUAGAGACAAAAUGCCAUAAAAGGUCUUCUCUAGAUAUCUGGUGUAGUAGUUGGUGUUCCCCAACAGACAGUAAAGGAUGAAUCUCUCUGUACAGAGAAAUCGGACUAGUCACAAUGAUCACAGACUAUGGAACACAUAAUUUAACAAUGACUGACUAUUUUUAAAGUCCUAGAAUCCAUUAGUUUAUUAGUCCAAAAGGCAAGAUGUCUUAUCUGGUCAUUGACAUAUGGAUAAAUAUUCAGUAUGCAGGUUCUAAUGUCUAUGAGGAUUUGGUAUCACUGUGAGUGCAAAAAUGAAAAAGUAAAGGCUUCUUUCUUCCAUGUUUUCUACGGGGAUUCAAAUAGAAUGCAUGGUUUAGAAUACAUUGGGUUUGCCAUUCUCAAACAGACCAAUAUCUUCAACUGAACAUUCUUUUCUUGGAAGCUGCACCCUGUCAGCAUGGCUCACGUGUAUGUGAACUGCAAGAUCUAGUCUGGGAAGGCGGUCCUGUUCAUCGAUCCAACCUGCCCCUAAUACUGAAAUACCCAAGACUUCCUCAAUCAACUCCUUUGCAAACAUGGUCUUCUGGGAUUUGAAGACAUUACAUCUACUAACAACACCAAUGCAAUUCAAGAUUACUUUCAACAGCUCCCUGGAGUGAGAAUUGUUCCUUGGGUCCUUAUAUGUAGAGAAAGACUGCAUAGGCAGACACAGUGAUCUAAUCUACCUGAAACAGAAUGAAGAGAUGAUGAUGUGGCUGAAGCAGAUUGGAGCUCUGCAUUUAUUAAAGGGAUGGCAGUAAAAGCCCAUGCUGACAGCAGACAUUCAGACAUGCUGAAGCCAUGCUGAGACUUGAUGUUUGUCACAGAUGAUGUCAGUAUUUUCUUAUGACUGGGAUUUUCAACAAAUUGGCUUUCAUUCUAUUCCUCAUUCCAAAAAAUCUGUUGCUGUAGGCCUCAAACCAUGGGGCAGGGAAACUUAAGAGACAACAGAGGAUUGAUAAUCCAGUCUUCAUUCACUGACUUGUCUCUACCUCUAAGUCCAUGUUUCACAAUCCAGUGCAUUUAAAUCUCCAGGGAAUCAGUUACUGUUUCUCUACCAUGCUGGUCUCCUGAAGUCAUUUUACAGAAGUCCACUUCCAAGUAAUUAUUAAAGCAAUGAAUAUUUUGAAGUUGUUUAUGAUCUACACACAGGCUUUUUACGCCCCAAGCAUGUACCAUCCCACUUCUGCAUUUGUAGCUCUCAGCCAGUGUUCUUGACCUAUCCAUCCAGCAACCCUUAGAUUCCACACUUUGUAUGAGGAUAAUAUUUGAAAAAACAGAAGAAUAGCUGGAGCAUAGUUGUUCUUCACUGAAGCCAUAUUAACACAGACGGCAGAGCAUAUGAUGCAUUCAUCUCUGUUGUAGUGUUUAAUUCCCCGUAAAGUCCCAAACAAUUGAGAGUUGAUUCUGUCAGAGUACCAGCAAAGUCAAAUAGGAAAUGCAAAAUUUCAGAAUUCUCCUGCCAAAGAUGUUUGUGAAAGAAGUUGUUUGCAAAACACUGUCUUAAUAAAUUUAUUCCAUUCUCACUUUGAUAUUUUGAUUUGAUGUCUUGAAGUGACGUUUAAUUAUCACUGAAAUGCAGGUCCCCUCUAUAGUCUCCAGUAAGAAGAAUUCAUUCCUCAAAAGGAUGUAUCUGCAGAUGCCUGAAAAAAUAAUAGAAAGAAUAUUUCUUGAUAAAGAUCUAGGUUAAAGUUGAAACAUCCUACCACAAAGAUACAUAUAAGAAGUUCAUUUGACAUUGACCUUAUAUUAUGCAGAAAUUCUUCACAUAUUCCCUCUAUCGUUGGGGUUUAAUUAAUCUCCAAUGAAUAGUUGACAAUGAAGAGUAGCCUUUAGAAUCAUUUUACCCUUUUCAGUAAUAGUUUUAAGCAAAUGGAACACUAAAAGAUCACAAAGAAGAAAUGGUUAUAAUCAAAAGAUACAUGUGGGACAGUCUAACUCUCAUGGUCAAGAUGACUUUGCACAUGCUCCUUAUGGUCAUGGAUUGCUCUCAUAAUACUCUGCAGAAGGUUGUUCCUACUGCCUCACUUUAAGCUCCAGGAAUUCCAAGCUACCAGAGCUGUUCAAGUUCCCUUACAAUGCACUUGAAAGCCACAUAUGCUUAGGAACUUUUGAUGUGCUUUAGCUCUAUUGUCAGGUUUUUUUAAGCCUCUACCAAAUAGCAAGCUGUCCUUUUUACCCCCUUCUCAACACCUCUAAAUCUGCCCUAACUCAAUUUCUCAAUUGACAUUAGUCAUAGCUCAGCACCCCAAAUAUGCACUCAUCUUACUGUGUUUUUAACAUCCUGCCUGCUACACCAAUGGCCACUCCAUACUAGAUCUCACAUGACUGGUAACUCUUGCUCCACCCUAAAUCUUUUCUCCACCCUUGUGUCUACUAGCCUGUUGGUAGAAAUCCACACAACUGAUUGGCCAAGAGCAUCUUUAUUGAACUAUACAGAAUCAAUUUGGGAACAGGACCUUCAGUGUUCGCAGGAUGAUUCCCGAUCUAAGAAUCAAAACGAUAGCAAACAAGACUCAAUCCAUGUCUCUGGUUUUGGGAGGGAGAUAGAGCACUUAGAUUCAGAGUUGAAAUUUAAAUAAUUAUAAUAUAUAUGUAGUAUUAAUUAUGCCAGGAUAAAAGGAUCCAAAAAGUGGAAAUGGGCAACAUUAAAGGCAAGAGAAAAAUCCCUACUACAGCAAACAAUGUGGACCUGUUAGAAAGACUGGUCUCUUUCCAGCCAUCUGAAUUUGUACUUGAAAUUCUUCUAACCACUCUUGAUCUCUGCAUGUAGAAAAGAACAAAAAGAAAAAGAAAACAAAAUAAAACAAAAAAUCACCAAAAUGAAACCAAAAGCAAAAGCAAUAGCUAAUCAACCCAAUCCUAAAAGAAGAGGACCGAGUGAAGAUUGCUUGAGGUCCUCAUUUUUAACUACAACUACAAGUCACCAAUAGCUUUCAAUGCAAAAGUUUGUCAUUAUUUUAUUUGAAACUUCUCUGUGGGUCAAAGAAACAAGGUUUAUAAGCUGCAACAACAGGAAAGAGAAAAAAAUCAUACUGUAGAGCUCAACACUGAUAUUACUAUGGUGACUGUGGGCAAUGCAGAGAAUAUUGGUGUUUGACAAUGGGUUUUGUGGUUUUCUAUAUGCUGGCAAUAUCUAUGACUCUGAAAUGAAUUAGAGUCAUCACCAAAUCAUCACUAAAUGAACUGCUCCUUUCUUUGGAGCACAAGAUCUGGCAAACUGUUGACUGACUAUGAUUUUUAACUUGGAUCUAGCCUCUGUGGUAAAGCUAAGGCUUCUGAUGGAAAAUCCUCCACCAAAAUACUGGACUAUCAAUUGUGCUGCCAGCCAAAAACCAAGUCCUGACUCUACCCUGCAAUCCAGAAGAGGUUUCAAAGUGUCAAACAUAACAAUAUUUUAAUUGUGGUUUUGUCUUUUUUUCACUUUUUAUUUUAAAUAAAGUGUGAUUUCUGGCAUAAUUCCUUCUAAUUUCUUCCUCACAUAGAACUUCACUUUGACCUCAAAUUCCAUUCAUGAAGGGGUACUCUUAUCUUUCGUUGGCUAAGUUUUCUAUUUUGCUUUUAUGGCUUGCUGUGAUUGCUUAUUGUGACUGUCUAAAUGAUGCAUUAUUGAGCAACUGACACCAUAAGAAUGGCUUGCGGCAAAAGAUGCCUCAACAUAUAAAAGAGACACGUGCUCCACUAUGUUCAUCGCAGCCUUAUUUAUAAUAGCCAGAAACUGGAAAGAACCCAGAUGCCCUUCAACAGAGGAAUGGAUACAGAAAUGUGGUACAUCUACACAAUGGAAUAUUACUCAGCUAUCAAAAAGAAUGAUUUCAUGAAAUUCGUAGGCAAAUUGUUGGAACUGGAAAAUAUCAUCCUGAGUGAGCUAACCCAAUCACAGAAAGACAUACAUGGUAUGCACUCAUUGACAAGUGUCUAUUAGCCCAAAUGCUUGAAUUACCCUAGAUGCCUAGAACAAAUGAAACUCAAGACUGAUGAUCAUAAUGUGAAUGCUUCACUCCUUCUUUAAAAGGGGAACAAGAAUACCCUUGGCAGGGAAGAGAGAGGCAAAGAUUAAAACAGAGACUGAAGGAACACCCAUUCAGAGCCUGCCCCACAUGUGACCCAGACAUACAGCCACCCAAUUAGACAAGAUGGAUGAAGCAAAGAAUUGCAGACCGACAGGAGCCGGAUGUAGAUCGCUCCUGAGAGACACAGCCAGAAUACAGCAAACACAGAGGCGAAUGCCAGCAGCAAACCACUGAACUGAGAAUAGGACCCCCGUUGAAGGAAUCAGAGAAAGAACUGGAAGAGCUUGAAGGGGCUCGAGACCCCAUAUGUACAACAAUGCCAAGCAACCAGAGCUUCCAGGGACUAAGCCACUACCUAAAGACUAUACAUGGACUGACCCUGGACACUGACCUCAUAGGUAGCAAUGAAUAUCCUAGUAAGAGCACCAGUGGAAGGGGAAGCCCUGGGUCCUGCUAAGACUGAACCCCCA